AACGAACGCUGGCGGCAUGCCUAACACAUGCAAGUCGAACGAGACCUUCGGGUCUAGUGGCGCACGGGUGCGUAACGCGUGGGAACCUGCCCUUAGGUUCGGAAUAACUCCCCGAAAGGGGUGCUAAUACCGGAUAAUGUCUUCGGACCAAGGAUUUAUCGCCUUUGGAUGGGCCCGCGUUGGAUUAGCUAGUUGGUAGGGUAAAAGCCUACCAAGGCGACGAUCCAUAGCUGGUCUGAGAGGAUGAUCAGCCACACUGGGACUGAGACACGGCCCAGACUCCUACGGGAGGCAGCAGUGGGGAAUAUUGGAAAAUGGGCGAAAGCCUGAUCCAGCAAUGCCGCGUGAGUGAUGAAGGCAUUAGGGUUGUAAAGCUCUUUUACCCGGGAUGAUAAUGACAGUACCGGGAGAAUAAGCUCCGGCUAACUCCGUG
RNAcentral lists this ribosomal RNA (433 nucleotides) under uncultured bacterium. Its description in RNAcentral is "partial 16S ribosomal RNA". It matches the Rfam family "Bacterial small subunit ribosomal RNA", at positions 29 to 507 of the family's 1533-position model. The record is from RNAcentral.